RNAcentral lists this ribosomal RNA (180 nucleotides) under uncultured Glomeromycotina. RNAcentral's name for it is "partial small subunit ribosomal RNA". The stretch from base 88 to 180 matches the Rfam family "Eukaryotic small subunit ribosomal RNA", at positions 734 to 829 of the family's 1831-position model. The record is from RNAcentral. Lineage: Eukaryota; Fungi; Glomeromycota.
GGCUUGGCUGAACGGUCUGCCUCACGGUAUGUACUGUUCUGGUCGGGCCUUUCCUUCUGGCGAGCCAAGGUGCUCUUAAUUGAGUGCUUUGGGGAACCAGGACUUUUACUUUGAAAAAAUUAGAGUGUUCAAAGCAGGCUUACGUCUGAAUACAUUAGCAUGGAAUAAUAAAAUAGGACG